Molecule: transfer RNA, 75 nt
Filed under: Mucilaginibacter paludis DSM 18603
Lineage: Bacteria; Pseudomonadati; Bacteroidota; Sphingobacteriia; Sphingobacteriales; Sphingobacteriaceae
Also listed under: 3 other names
Description: tRNA-Arg
Rfam family: tRNA
About the family: Transfer RNA (tRNA) molecules are approximately 80 nucleotides in length. Their secondary structure includes four short double-helical elements and three loops (D, anti-codon, and T loops).
Source: RNAcentral
GGUCCCGUAGUUCAACGGAUAGAAUAGGAGUUUCCUAAACUCUAGAUAUGAGUUCGAUUCUCGUCGGGACCACUA